This 29-nucleotide small RNA is filed under the name Bombyx mori (domestic silkworm). Its description in RNAcentral is "ovarian small RNA-6651". The record is from RNAcentral. Lineage: Eukaryota; Metazoa; Arthropoda; Insecta; Lepidoptera; Bombycidae.
UAUGGAAUGAGUGCAACAGUUACUAAUGC